CUUGAGAAACCCAAAAGAUCGAAUGGGGAGAUUCAUCGUCAGCGAUCUUGGCGCGUGUGCGGUCUCGCGAUGCCGGAGACUUCGGUCUCCAGGCACGCGUCCGCAUGUUUUUAUUGCCUCGAUCGUCGGCGUGCACUUCUCCCCUAGUAGRACGUCGCGACCCGUUGGGUGUCGGUCUACGGCCCGGGUGGUAGCCUGUCUCGUGUGCGCUUCGCGGCGUACGCGGUUCAGACCCUCGGUUGCCCGACCGGCUGCUCGGCGGUACUCGCACGGUAUCUGGCCGCAAAUAUUCGAACUGCGUCCGGCCCGUCGCAAGCGCGACAAGUGCUCCCGGUUGUACGGAUCUGAUGCCGUCACCGGGCCUUGUCAGCUGUUGGUUGACGGUGUCCUAGGACUGGCUAAUACAAUUAUGAUACCGGUCGGCGACGCUACUGCUUUGGGUACUUUCAGGACCCGUCUUGAAACACGGACCAAGGAGUCUAACAUGUGCGCGAGUCAUUGGGAACUAUUAAGCCUAAAGGCGCAAUGAAAGUGAAGGUCGGCCUUGCGCCGACCGAGGGAGGAUGGGCCGCGUCACGAUGCGGUCCCGCACUCCCGGGGCGUCUCGUUCUCAUUGCGAAAAGAGGCGCGSCCAGAGCG
RNAcentral lists this ribosomal RNA (639 nucleotides) under Goryphus sp. NL316. RNAcentral's name for it is "eukaryotic LSU rRNA". It matches the Rfam family "Eukaryotic large subunit ribosomal RNA", at positions 420 to 802 of the family's 3401-position model. Lineage: Eukaryota; Metazoa; Arthropoda; Insecta; Hymenoptera; Ichneumonidae. The record is from RNAcentral.